Molecule: long non-coding RNA, 6941 nt
Filed under: Marmota monax (woodchuck)
Lineage: Eukaryota; Metazoa; Chordata; Mammalia; Rodentia; Sciuridae
Source: RNAcentral
GAACCACAGGGUACCUCUGUUUUUUCUUUCUUUUUAGAUGUAUAGUGACAAUUUUUGUGUCAAUUUUAUUGAGGUACAAUUAACAUACAGUAAGUUUUGCCAAUUAUUUUUUUGUGUGUAUGUGGUGCUGGGGAUUGAACUCAGGGCCUUGUGCAUGCAAGGCAAGCACUCUACCAACUGAGCUAUAUCCCCAGCACCCCUCUGGUUUUUCAACCUGGGCUCUCUACUCAGUGACAGGCACCUUCCAAGAUAACAAAUGUAGACAUAGCAGGGCCUUGCAGUCAAGUAUCUGGAACUCAUCCCUUCUAUCAUGUCCUCUGGGUCAAAGCAAGCCAAGACAACAUUCCAGAAUCAAGAUUUCUACCUUUUAAUAGGAGAAGCUGUAAAAUAUUAUGGCCCAGCUUUUCAAUCUACCACAUUGCUAUAAAGCAGCUUUCCUAGUUUGUAAGUAGCAGAAAAGUUACAGGAAUCAUCCACCAGUGUCCAGCCCAGUACUUAACGCCUGGCAAGCUCUCACUGUUGGUUCAGUAAAUGAAUGAAGGUCAUCAGUGAUACUAUUCUUUGACCUUGUACAGGUUCUUUAGAAAUAUUGGCUUGUGCUGCCCCCUAGAGGAACCUGAGGAUUGGUGUGUUUACCCUGGGGCCUGGAAUGUUCUUAGAGGUGGAACUGUAGGGUUAUGGCAGUGGGUCCUGCCAUUUAGCAUAGGGUAUGAGUUAUAUUCCUGGGCUCCAUCUAAACAGAUCCAUUGAGUCUUAGGUCUUAGGCUCUGAUAGUGGAUGCUGCAGGGUGAGGCUACAGCACUGGAACAGGAAUCUAUGUUCAGGUGGUGAGACUUGUCAGAACAGAGCUCUGCCUCUUUCUGUCUGUAACCUUGGGACAUCCACUUAAUAUCUGUUAUUCUCAGUUCUCUCGUUUGUUAAAUGGGGUUAAUGAUAUCUACCUCAUAGGGUUGUUGAGAUUAGAAAUAGUUACAGUGCUUAACAGACUGUAACUCAGGAAGUGGGUGGUUAAUGUUGUAUAAUAGACGAAGGUCUUUGAAAAUGUGUAGUAGAUGUUCAACAAACAUUAAAAGAAUUUAGAAACUUAAACACCAUAAGAACAAGAAGCAUAGCUUCACCACUGGUUUCCAAGAUCUAGUGUUUAAAAAAUGAGGUAUAUUAGGUGCUCAACAGAUUAUAUAUAUUUUUGGUACCAGGGAUUGAACCCAGGGUCACUUAACCACAAAGUCACAUCCACAACCUUUUUUAUAUUUUAUUAGAGACAGAGUCUCACUGAGUUUCUUAGGGCCUCAUUGAUUUGCUGAGACUGGCUUUGAACUUGUGAUCUUCCUGCCUUAGCCUCCCAAGUUGCUGGGAUUAUAAGCGUGUGCCAUCACAUCUGGCUCUAACAAAUAUAUAUAUAUUUUCAUAUUUUUUUAGUUAUACAUGGACACAAUAUCUUUAUUUUGUUUAUUUAUUUUUAUGUGGUAUUGAAGAUCAAACCCAGUGCCUCAUAUGUGCAAAGCAAGCACUCUACCACUGAGCCACAACCCCAGCCCGUCUAACAAGUAUUUUUUGAAAGAGUAAAUGAAGUGCUCAAAUCCUGCCUCUAUCCAUAUGGGUAUUAUCCCAGUGGAUAUUUCAUUAUCAAUACUGGUUGUACAUUACUGAUAGUAUAAGAAAUUUGGUGUGUGUGGCAUGUAUACACGUGUACACAUGUGUGUUAUUUUUAUACAAGUGUCUUCUCAGGACUUGUAGACACUUUGUUUUGUGUCCACCUCAACACUGACUAAGCUGCCAGGAAGCAAGUAGUUUUUAGAAUUUUUUUUUUUUUUUUAAUGGGUGUAGUGAUAAGUAUGGGAGGCUUAAAGACAGAUGAUUUGUUUUGGAUUUGACUCUUUCUGUUUCCCAAAGAGUAGCAACCUAGCUUUGGUUUAGCAAAUGAUGACCCCUAAGGUAUAGCAGAGCAACAGGAAAACAGUUAAUAGCAGUGUCACUUCACCAACCUGGCCUGGCUGUUCAGUUUGGGAAGAGAGAGAAAUAGAUUUUGAUCAUGUUUGGGCCAGUAGUUUUUAGGGUCUGUCUCUUCCAAUGACCUUAACUAAUACAUACUUCUCCCAAUACCGGGGACAUCUUGGUGGCACCACUUAAUGGUUUGUGGAGCUGAUUGGAGGCUGGUGGCAGAGCACUUGGAAGUCAUUGUGUACUUUACAGAAUGCUGUCUUUUAUAUUCUUUCAUAUAGACUUCUUAACAAAAAUUAUUAGUAUUUUUGUUUAUAAGGUUUGGAAAGAAAUGUAACUUGUUACAGUUGAUCCAAUAUGCAAAAGUGCAACACAGAAAUCACAACCAUAAAUAGAAAGUAAGCUGCCAAGCCACAUGCUCUGUUUGGGAUUGACUUUCAUAUAUAUAUAUAUACACAUGUAUAUAUGUUUUGUUUUGAGGUACUAGGAAUUGAUCCCCAGGCCUUUUGCAUGCUAGGCAAAUGCUCUGUUUUGAGCUCCAUCCUCAGCCCUCUCCUAUUAAUAUAUUUUUUUUGUUUUCUUGAUUUGUUCUAAUUAGUUGUACAUGACAGUAGAAUGCAUUUUGACACAUUGUACACAUUUUGAAAGCACAUUUUCAUCAUUGGAGUGUUCUUUACAGUUCUGGAACAUUGCUACAUUUUGUGUCCUCUUUUCUUUUCAUUGUGUACUCUCAGUGGCAAUGAUUGUAGUAUAUGUGACUAUGGCAGUAGGAGGCAUACAUUUUUUAGAAAUUGGUUCACGCGAUUGGUUAGGUUGAAUGUGCUCACAAUUCCUGUGGUUGAAUGUCUUUGCAGUCUCUCCUCUGAAAAGUACAGUGUCAAGUAGCACUCUGAGGAGUCAGCCUUUGUCCUAGAUACUGAAUAUUUGCAAGGGAUCCAGCACAGUACACAGGAAAUUCAGAGGUACCCAUCAUAACAGAUCAUCCAUUACCUUUAUGAACGACUGUUUCCACAGCCAUCAAGAUAACCUGGGUCCAUGAUUCUCAUCAUUGUCAAACCAGUGUCUCUGGGAUCCCUCUCUGAGGCCCUAAAGGGUAGGGAACUCCAAAAUCUAGGGAUGUUAUCUCCCCUUUGUCCCUUAGGAGGAGAGACCUCCUUCGUUCUCUGAGCAAGCCCUCUUCUGGUAUCUUCACUAGGUAUAAGGUGGCAGUGGUCCUCAACUUGCUCCUUAGUGAGGAAGCCUGGCUUCUCUUCAUCAUGGUGAUGUGACAGGAACAGGCCCCUGAAGGCCAGCAGGUGAGGAUGUGCUUCCCAGCUCCACUUCUCACUGUUAGACCCAGCAUAGGUAAGGGAGGCCCCCCCUUUUUAAUAUUUAUUUUUUAGUUGUAAUUGGACACAAUACCUUUAUUUUAUUUAUUUAUUUUUACGUGGUGCUGAGGAUCAAACCCAGGGCCUCACAUGUGCUAGUUGAGCGCUCUACUGCUGAGCCACCUCCCCAGCCCCAAGGGAGGCUCUUUUGCAUUUGUGUGUGUGUGUGUGUGUGUGUGUGUGUUUUCAUUAGCAAUUUACUUGCUGCUAUAUUGUCUUCAUAAUAACCAUAACCAUUUUUAGCAACUGUACAUUAUUUCAUCAAACAAUAGAAUUUAUUUAAAGAGUACCUUAUUGUUGGCUCUUUUUUUAAUAAAAAUAUUUUUAGUUGUAGAUGGACAUAAUACCUUUGUUUUAUGUUUUCAUAUAUGGUGCUGAGGAUUGAAUCCAGUGCCUCACACAUACCAGGCAAGUGCUCCACCACUGAGCCACAACCCCAGCCCUUAUUGUGGACUCUUUAGCUCCCAAUUUGUGUUACUGUGGAAAUUGCUGUAAUUACUAUUUUUGUCUGUAACUUUUUGCCUCCAUUGGAAAAUUUCCUCAGGAAAUGGGUAAGUUUCAACUACCUCUUAUGGAAAUCUAAACAAUUGUUGUGGCAAUGUUUUUUGCAUUUUCAAAAAAAUGCGAAACCAGAAUCAUCCUUCAACAGCAAAUACUUAAGUAAACUGUCCUACAUUUAAUCAUUGCACUACUGUGCAACCAUUAAAAGAAAUCGGAUUAUUCACAAUAGCUAAAAGAUAGAAACAAUCCACAUUGUCCAUCAACUCAGCUGAUGAAUGAAUAAACAAAGUAUGGUUUAAAGAUCUACACAAUGGGAUAUUAUUUAGCCAUAAAAAGAAUGAGAUUCUGGUAUGUGUUACAACAUGAAUGAACCUUGGAAACCUUAGCAUAAGUGAAAGAAGUUAGACACAAAAGGCCACAUAUAAUGUGAUUCCAUUUUUUGUGUAAUGUCUAGAGUAGGCAAAUCCAGAGAGCCAGAAUAUUUUCAGUAUUUAGGAGGUGGGGGAUGAGACAAUAUGGGGCUGGGAAAUGAUUGCUAAUGGGUGUAGUUUCUUUUGGGAUGAUGAAAUUAUUCUAGAAUUUGAUAGUAGUAAUGGUUGCACAAUCUUAUGAAUACACUAAAAAUCCACUGAAUUAUACACUUUAAAAAGAUGAAUUUCGUGAUAUGGGAAUUAUAUCUCAAUUUAAAAGACUGAAGAACUAUAUUGAUGUGAUUUAUUUUCAUUGAAAAAGCUAAAUGCAGAAUUCAGUCUAUAAUAUGCCAUUUUUGUGAGAAUUUUUGUUUGUUUGUUUGUUUUUUCCUUCCUUUAGUGGUGGAGACUGAGCUUUUCCAGGAAUAGGUCAGACCUGCCCUCACUCUUCAGUGAGUUCAGGCAAGAAAGUGGCUACUUUCUCUGAGAUUAGCGAGCACCUGUCAUGGACCAGGUGCUGAGAAUGCACACAGAUUUCUAGAUGAUCUGUUAUUAUUCCCAUUUUUCAGAUAAUAAAACAGACAUAAGAGAAACUAGUGACUUAUCAAGGUUACUCAGCCAAGACAGGAACCAACUCCAGGCCUAUCCAGAGGAGGUGAGUCUGAGGCUUGAGCCACGUGGAUCUAGCUCCCAGCUGUGUUUGCACCUGUGGAUUGUCAGGCCUGGGACAUGGAGACUACUUUUCUUCAGGAGCACAGCUAACAAAGAUGCUGGCUUAUGAAUUUACACUGAGAGGUCAUUUGUGGUCCUUUAUUUGAGGACAGUAUAAAGUGCACUUCAGAGAGUCCUCUUGUCCUAGGCCAGGCACUUGUAACUUGAUGGGAAGGUUUCAGUAGUUCCUUAAGUGGUCCACUCCUGUGGUCUGAACAUUCCAUUCUCCUUCAUGAAGCUGUCCUUGAUGUUUUUUUCUGACAGAAGACCCUGUCUACCAGCCACUCAACCAACUCCUAUGUUGUCCUCAAAACCCAGCUCAUAUGUCCCUUCUGUUGUUUCUCCUUAACAACACCAUUUAUAAAUGCCUGACUGGAGCCUUGAAAAUAAUACUAGUCAUAUUAACACAAGUAGUUAUCAUUUAGUGAGCUCCCUCUCCUGAUCACUGUUUUUUAACUGUACUUAUUCCUUUAAAUUCUCAUGGUAAUUAUGCAAUAAAAGUAUAUGUAUAAUUACUUACACUUCUUCCAGAUUGAGAAAGAACCUGGACAAGUUAAGAAACUUGCCCAGAGUCAUACAACCAGGACAUGAAGCAACAGGUCUUUCUGACUCCAAAGUUCAUAUUUUCCCCUUGCACCACAUCCUUUUCUUGCACCAAUCACUUCGAAUUGCAAAUGCUACUUGUCUCUUUCUUCACUGUUGCCCUGUAAGCCUUAGGAGGCAGGUGGUGGCUCUGACUUCAGGACUGCCACCCCACUGCCCAGUGUGGGGCCUGCUCCCAAGUGGCCAGUCAUAAAAGUUUAAUAAGAAUAAGAGGCAUUCCACUGGCACAGCCUGGAAAGUACAAGCAGUGUGUUUGUCCUUACCCUGGAGAGGGAACAGACCUGCUAUCUGUCCUAGAGUGGUGAUAAAGGGCAGGUUGUGCCUCCUGGAGGACUUGCAGAUGUUUCCUGAGGCCCCAAGAGCACGUCUGCUUUCGAGCUGCCUUGGCUGCCCAUUGGUGUGACUGCUGGGAAAGCCAAUUUCGUGGCUGUGCUGGAGAAUGUCAACAACCCACUCUAACCAGCUCUCUGGAUAUUUCCCUGAAAUAUUAAGGCCAGCAGGGACCCUUGAAGUAGAGGCCUCAAUUGCCAGCUUGUUGGAUUCCAGCAGGAUCUCUGUCAUAGAAACAGCAGCAAGGUAGUUGAGACAUCAAGCUUGGUUGUCAGCUCUUGCUUUGAAAACCCUAUCUCCCACUGACUACAUCUGUGGCAUUGGGACAAGUUCCUCAGACUUUCUUAGCCUCAAUUACUUAAGCCUUCACAGGGGAUGUUGCCUCCCUUUCAAGGUCAUGGAUAAAAGGAGAUAAUAUCUAUAAAAAUCCUUACCAGUGAGCCUAGCACAGUACCUGCAUCAACACUAAUGGCGAUAAUAAUUGUUAUCAUUAAACUACCAGAGUAGAUUUUUUUUUGUUACUAUAUCUACUAUAUAAGUAGAUUUUUUUUGUUACUAUAGUAGAUUUUUGUUUGCAGCUUUUAUUUAGGGGAAUAGAACAGUUUUCUACAAGGACAGGUCCUUGGGCCCGAUGGAUAGUUUCCCCUGGUCUAGGACACAUCCUGACUGAAGUAGUGGUCUCCAUCCUUUGAUGUGAGCAUGUGCUGUUCCUAGUUAACACUGGGAAGGUAGAGGCUGGGUUAAGAGGAGACUCCACUUUUCCUAGAUCACAGGCAGCAAACAAUUAUUUCUGUAUCCCAACCACCUACCAUGAGUUGAACAAUUAAUUAGCAGUUAUUAACAGUAUUGAUUAUUAUUUGAAGAAAAGAAAAAGAAUAAUAAUUUUACUCUGAACAAUAUAUGAAUUAGCAUUUUCAUAAGGAUUAUUUUAUUUACAUUAUUUAAGACAGAAAUACCUACCAAGAAAAAAAAAAAAGACAUGGCUUUAUUUAAAUUUCAUUGAACUAUCUGUUGAACUCCGUCAGUUUUCAUCUGCAGGCCUCUGGGAAAGAAAUAGAUUGGCUUGUGCAGUUUUAAU